Molecule: transfer RNA, 99 nt
Filed under: Streptomyces lucensis JCM 4490
Lineage: Bacteria; Bacillati; Actinomycetota; Actinomycetes; Kitasatosporales; Streptomycetaceae
Description: tRNA-Pro
Source: RNAcentral
UGAGCCGGCUGGUGCGCCGGUACCAGGCGCUGCCGAUCCGGGCACGGCUGGCGAUGCUGGUCGCGGCGGCGGUGGCGUUCGCCGUCGCCGCGGUCUCGG